AAGCAUUGUAUGUCUCUACCACGAGUUUGUGGGGUAGACACAUCCUAUCCUCCCUUUCUUUUUUAUACUCUUUCGUGAGAUAAGAGUUAGAGCAAGAACUCUCCAUGGGACUUGACCCUUUUCUCAAAAUUUGUUGUUAAACUUUUAUGCAAAGUUGGAUCAAGUCAUUCAAGUCCAUGUAUGGCAAGAGUUCCACUUUAUCUCUUAUCACAAGACUAAGACCACUAGGAACAUAGCUAUGGUGGUGGUUUCUUCCUCCCUACUAGAGGCUCUCAUCAUG
This 280-nucleotide long non-coding RNA is filed under the name Phaseolus vulgaris (common bean). RNAcentral describes it as "long non-coding RNA (PVUL_LNC003023)". The record is from RNAcentral. Lineage: Eukaryota; Viridiplantae; Streptophyta; Magnoliopsida; Fabales; Fabaceae.